UACAGAGGGUGCAAGCGUUAAUCGGAGUUACUGGGCGUAAAGGGCGCGUAGGUGGUUAUUUAAGUUUGAUGUGAAAUCCCUGGGCUUAACCUAGGAACUGCAUUGAAAACUGGAUAACUGGAGUACUGUAGAGGGUAGUGGAAUUUCCGGUGUAGCGGUGAAAUGCGUAGAGAUCGGAAGGAACACCAGUGGCGAAGGCGAGUCUCUGGACAGCAACUGACGCUGAGGCACGAAGGCCAGGGGAGCAAACGGG
RNAcentral lists this ribosomal RNA (253 nucleotides) under uncultured bacterium. RNAcentral describes it as "partial 16S ribosomal RNA". It matches the Rfam family "Bacterial small subunit ribosomal RNA", at positions 524 to 776 of the family's 1533-position model. The record is from RNAcentral.